RNAcentral lists this ribosomal RNA (750 nucleotides) under uncultured bacterium. RNAcentral's name for it is "bacterial SSU rRNA". It matches the Rfam family "Bacterial small subunit ribosomal RNA", at positions 61 to 809 of the family's 1533-position model. The record is from RNAcentral.
GUCGACGGUAGAGGGGGCAACCCCUCGAGAGUGGCGAACGGGUGAGUAAUAUAUCGGAACGUGCCCAGUCGUGGGGGAUAACGUAGCGAAAGUUACGCUAAUACCGCAUACGAUCUACGGAUGAAAGCGGGGGAUCGCAAGACCUCGCGCGAUUGGAGCGGCCGAUAUCAGAUUAGGUAGUUGGUGGGGUAAAGGCUCACCAAGCCAACGAUCUGUAGCUGGUCUGAGAGGACGACCAGCCACACUGGAACUGAGACACGGUCCAGACUCCUACGGGGGGCAGCAGUGGGGGAUUUUGGACAAUGGACGCAAGUCUGAUCCAGCCAUUCCGCGUGCAGGAUGAAGGCCCUCGGGUUGUAAACUGCUUUUGUACGGAACGAAAAGGUUUCUAUUAAUACUAGGAGCUCAUGACGGUACCGUAAGAAUAAGCACCGGCUAACUACGUGCCAGCAGCCGCGGUAAUACGUAGGGUGCAAGCGUUAAUCGGAAUUACUGGGCGUAAAGCGUGCGCAGGCGGUUAUGUAAGACAGAGGUGAAAUCCCCGGGCUCAACCUGGGAACUGCCUUUGUGACUGCAUAGCUAGAGUACGGUAGAGGGGGGGAUGGAAUUCCGCGUGUAGCAGUGAAAUGCGUAGAUAUGCGGAGGAACACCGAUGGCGAAGGCAAUCCCCUGGACCUGUACUGACGCUCAUGCACGAAAGCGUGGGGAGCAAACAGGAUUAGAUACCCUGGUAGUCCACGCCCUAAACGA